AUUGAACGCUGGCGGCAGGCUUAACACAUGCAAGUCGAACGCAUCGCAAGAUGAGUGGCAGACGGGUGAGUAACGCGUGGGAACAUACCCUUUUCUACGGAAUAGCUCUGGGAAACUGGAAUUAAUACCGUAUACGCCCUACGGGGGAAAGAUUUAUCGGGGAAGGAUUGGCCCGCGUUGGAUUAGCUAGUUGGUGGGGUAAAGGCCUACCAAGGCGACGAUCCAUAGCUGGUCUGAGAGGAUGAUCAGCCACAUUGGGAUUGAGACACGGCCCAAACUCCUACGGGAGGCAGCAGUGGGGAAUAUUGGACAAUGGGCGCAAGCCUGAUCCAGCCAUGCCGCGUGAGUGAUGAAGGCCUUAGGGUUGUAAAGCUCUUUCACCGAUGAAGAUAAUGACGGUAGUCGGAGAAGAAGCCCCGGCUAACUUCGUGCCAGCAGCCGCCGUAA
This 447-nucleotide ribosomal RNA is filed under the name uncultured bacterium. Its description in RNAcentral is "partial 16S ribosomal RNA". It matches the Rfam family "Bacterial small subunit ribosomal RNA", at positions 30 to 523 of the family's 1533-position model. The record is from RNAcentral.